AUUGAACGCUGGCGGAAUGCUUUACACAUGCAAGUCGAACGGCAGCACGGGGCAACCUGGUGGCGAGUGGCGAACGGGUGAGUAAUGUAUCGGAACGUACCUUUCAGUGGGGGAUAACGUAGCGAAAGUUACGCUAAUACCGCAUAUUCUGUGAGCAGGAAAGCGGGGGAUCGCAAGACCUUGCGCUGAUUGAGCGGCCGAUAUCAGAUUAGCUAGUUGGUGAGGUAAAGGCUCACCAAGGCGACGAUCUGUAGCGGGUCUGAGAGGAUGAUCCGCCACACUGGAACUGAGACACGGUCCAGACUCCUACGGGAGGCAGCAGUGGGGAAUUUUGGACAAUGGGGGCAACCCUGAUCCAGCCAUGCCGCGUGAGUGAAGAAGGCCUCGGUUGUAAGCUCUUCGCCGGGUAGGAAGUACGCAUGGGCUAAUA
Molecule: ribosomal RNA, 430 nt
Filed under: uncultured bacterium
Lineage: Bacteria
Description: bacterial SSU rRNA
Rfam family: Bacterial small subunit ribosomal RNA
Source: RNAcentral